This 372-nucleotide ribosomal RNA is filed under the name uncultured Enterobacteriaceae bacterium. RNAcentral describes it as "bacterial SSU rRNA". It matches the Rfam family "Bacterial small subunit ribosomal RNA", at positions 1011 to 1382 of the family's 1533-position model. The record is from RNAcentral. Lineage: Bacteria; Pseudomonadati; Pseudomonadota; Gammaproteobacteria; Enterobacterales; Enterobacteriaceae.
AGUGCCUCGCAAGAGGAGCCCGAUGACAGGUGCUGCAUGGCUGUCGUCAGCUCGUGUUGUGAAAUGUUGGGUUAAGUCCCGCAACGAGCGCAACCCUUAUCCUUUGUUGCCAGCGGUCCGGCCGGGAACUCAAAGGAGACUGCCAGUGAUAAACUGGAGGAAGGUGGGAUGACGUCAAGUCAUCAUGGCCCUUACGACCAGGGCUACACACGUGCUACAAUGGCGCAUACAAAGAGAAGCGACCUCGCGAGAGCAAGCGGACCUCAUAAAGUGCGUCGUAGUCCGGAUUGGAGUCUGCAACUCGACUCCAUGAAGUCGGAAUCGCUAGUAAUCGUGGAUCAGAAUGCCACGGUGAAUACGUUCCCGGGCCUU